GCCAGACUCCUACGGGAGGCAGCAGUGGGGAAUAUUGGGCAAUGGGCGAAAGCCUGACCCAGCAACGCCGCGUGAAGGAAGAAGGCUUUCGGGUUGUAAACUUCUUUUGACAGGGAAGAGCAGAAGACGGUACCUGUCGAAUAAGCCACGGCUAACUACGUGCCAGCAGCCGCGGUAAUACGUAGGGGGCAAGCGUUAUCCGGAUUCACUGGGUGUAAAGGGAGCGUAGACGGCGACGCAAGUCUGGAGUGAAAGCCCGGGGCCCAACCCCGGGACUGCUCUGGAAACUGCGUCGCUGGAGUACGGGAGGGGCAGGCGGAAUUCCUGGUGUAGCGGUGAAAUGCGUAGAUAUCAGGAGGAACACCGGUGGCGAAGGCGGCCUGCUGGACUGCAACUGACGUUGAGGCCCGAAAGCGUGGGGAGCAAACAGGAUUAGAUACCCCGGUAC
RNAcentral lists this ribosomal RNA (448 nucleotides) under uncultured bacterium. Its description in RNAcentral is "bacterial SSU rRNA". It matches the Rfam family "Bacterial small subunit ribosomal RNA", at positions 330 to 793 of the family's 1533-position model. The record is from RNAcentral.